Caerostris darwini is the source of this 112-nucleotide non-coding RNA. Lineage: Eukaryota; Metazoa; Arthropoda; Arachnida; Araneae; Araneidae. The record is from the annotation of a GenBank genome assembly.
AACGGCUAUUCCAUGGUGAAUAUACCGAUUCUCGUUAGAUCACCGAAGUCAAGCAUCAUUGGGCGAGGUCAGUACUUGGGUGGGUGACCACCUGGGAACACCGCGUGCCGUU